CGGGUUAGGAGAACUUGAUCCCGCAGGUACAAGCUUGGAGUAGACACCGACAGGCCGGGCUUCCUCCACUCUACACCUCCACUCUAUCUCUCUCAAUCUAGUAGAAACUAGAAGAUCUAUUUCUACCUUACAUUGAUUGCUAAGCCUAAAAAGAAAUAUUAAUUAGAGAAGAGGUUUUCCUUCGAGGGCACCCCUCAGUCUCUAUGAUAAUUUCUUCGUGUCUUCUCCAGGGCCAGGGGGCCUUGCUUAUAUAGUCCUCUCAUUCUAUGCGUUUUUGGGUCGAUAGCCGAGGUGGUACUAUGUUUUUCUUAAUCCAAUAGGUCGGUGGAAUAUCCCAAGCGAAGGAGUCCUGAAUUGGCUCCAGCAGGGGGGCGGGCGCCCAGGCUACCAGGGCGGGCGCCCUGGGCCUGGCCCAGCUUCGCCUCCGCUUCGGUCUCGUGGCUUCUGGAGUCUUCUAGAUGAUGUAAAAUUACGCGGUGCGUUGAUAUCUCUAUGUAAUCCCGACAUGUGGGCCUUUCUUCCUUAUUUCCUGAUAACCCCCUGCAGAAAUAGAUAAACAACAAAACUCGUGGAAUUCUGUCACAUCAAACCCUAAUUCUAGGUGAUGGUUGCAUAUUGGUCUUUUCUCAUGUUUAUUUGAUAAUUAAAAUUGAUACUUAAGAACCGUCAACAAAUACCCCCAUACUUAGGCUUUUACUCGUCCUCGAGAAAAGGAUGGUUAAGAAUAAUAUCUGGGGUAAACAUUUAAAACAUUCUCUUUAUAAUUGCAGGGUGUUAAAAAUUCCACUGUGUACUAUAGUCAGGGAUGUGUAUGGUUAAGUGUAAAGAUUCUUUCUUUUCAAUCCUGUCACUUGGAGUUUUUGUAUAUUUUUGAAAGAAAGUUAGCAUACCUUUUUGAUCCUCAUAGGUUCUCUCAGAUCACUCAUUAUCUUUUAUAUAUAUAUCUCACUGAGGCUGUUUUAUUUUGCAAAAAUUCUCAAGCAUACUUACUUUGGAUUUAUUGCCUGAUCAAAACGGGAUCCGAGGAGGGAAAUGUCAUACUCUUAGAUCAAAGACUUUGGAAAUUAAAAACUUUGUCAACUCUUGCUGGCAUAUUGCUUAUUAGAGGGACCAUGGGCUGUCAUUUUUUUUCUUUUUUUUUAAGUGGAUACCGAGGUACCCCUAAUUCUACUGCCGGACACUUGUCCAUUUUUUUCUGCGAGGUUGUCGAGCACUUGCUCCUUUUUAUUUCCUCGAAAUAUCUUCUAUUUUUGCAUAGCCCAUGCCUCUAAUGCAAUAAUACUUCGGAAGAGUGAAUCUUACUGAAAUAAUGUCUUGAUCUUAGGAGCAUGAUAAAUCUCUCAACAAGGGUCUAACUCAUUUUGAACAAACUCAAUACAGAGCAGAUAGCUUUUAUAAUCAUAUUUAAUAUUUCAGUUUUAUCAGGCAUAUAAAACACUGAGGAUGGUAGCUAGGAAUUUGAACAUUUUGAAAUAAAUUCUCCAAGCAACAAUGAUAUCAAGAAUAAGAAACUCAUACUCUACCAUCACAUAUUCCAUCUUGACUUAAGUAACACAGGGUUUUAAAAAAUGAUUUUAUACUAAUUGCAAGUUUUCAGGAAAUAUCACAGAUUGAGAUUAAUCAUGAUUAGAAAUAUUUUAAUCUUUUUAUUUUAUCAUGUCGGGAACAAUAUUCUGCAUAAUCUAAUAUAUAUAUAUGUGUAGAGUAAAGUGUGCAGAGUGUGUACCUGAAUCGUGGAGUGGUGUAGUCGGAGUGUGUUUAGCAUGUCGAGGGAUCUCCCCCAUACUUGUUUUCUGCUUUCUUGCACAAAAAUAAAGUAGAGACACACAAGACAUAAUAAUAAUACUCUUUAUUGAUCUUGAGGCAUUUAUUACACAAGGAAGAACAAAAUUAUUUUUGGCUAUUCUCUCCCGGAUUAGGAGUAGAAUAUUUUUGGGUGAUUCUGAAGAUGAAAUGUAUGGAUAUAUGUGGAUGGUACUUCCGGAGUAGAAGUAGCAUGUGUGAGUGAACGUGCAAGUGAAUCUUGAUUUAACCACAUGACAAGCUCCUAAGGGUCUACACAGCUUGACCACACUCAAUGCUCAUAAGCAGUAAAAAGUAAUUGUGUGGCUCGAAGUCUAGCAAGCAUGUAUAUAUGGCUGUGGUAGGAAUUUAAACUCUCAUCAUACAGGAACUCAUCAUGCAACAUUUUAAAGAUUUCCAAAGAUAAAAUUCUCCAGAAUUCUAGCAUCUCUAGAAACAGAUAAACAGCAGCUCAACCUUCCCAUAUCGUAUCCGUUAACAACUUAGAUUUCAGAUCAAGUUUUCAUCCCACAAGUUUAGGUCUAGAGCAAGCUUUAAAUUAUAACAGUUAUG
Molecule: long non-coding RNA, 2355 nt
Filed under: Sorghum bicolor (sorghum)
Lineage: Eukaryota; Viridiplantae; Streptophyta; Magnoliopsida; Poales; Poaceae
Description: long non-coding RNA (SBIC_LNC001449)
Source: RNAcentral